RNAcentral lists this unclassified non-coding RNA (365 nucleotides) under uncultured bacterium. Its description in RNAcentral is "contains 16S-23S intergenic spacer region". The record is from RNAcentral.
UCCCCGUUGCCGAGGCAGUCUCGCUAGAAAUUGCAACUAGCGACAAGGGUUGCGCUCGUUAAAGGACUUAACCUGACAUCUCACGACACGAGCUGACGACGGCCAUGCAUCACCUGUCACCGAUCCAGCCGAACUGACCAUCUGGUUUCCCAGACGUACGAUCGGGAUGUCAAGCCUUGGUAAGGUUCUUCGCGUAUCCUCGAAUUAAACCACACGCUCCACCGCUUGUGCGGGUCCCCGUCAAUUCCUUUGAGUUUUAGCCUUGCGGCCGUACUCCCCAGGCGGGAUGCUUAACGCGUUAGCUUCGCUACCGAGGGGGUCGAUACCCCCGACAGCUAGCAUCCAUAGUUUACGGCGUGGACUAC